AUUGAACGCUGGCGGCAUGCCUUACACAUGCAAGUCGAACGGCAGCACGGGAGCAAUCCUGGUGGCGAGUGGCGAACGGGUGAGUAAUAUAUCGGAACGUGCCCAGUCGUGGGGGAUAACGUAGCGAAAGCUACGCUAAUACCGCAUACGAUCUACGGAUGAAAGCGGGGGAUCGCAAGACCUCGCGCGAUUGGAGCGGACGAUAUCAGAUUAGUUAGUUGGUGAGGUAAAGGCUCACCAAGGCGACGAUCUGUAGCUGGUCUGAGAGGACGACCAGCCACACUGGAACUGAGACACGGUCCAGACUCCUACGGGAGGCAGCAGUGGGGAAUUUUGGACAAUGGGCGCAAGCCUGAUCCAGCAAUGCCGCGUGCAGGAUGAAGGCCUUCGGGUUGUAAACUGCUUUUGUACAGAACGAAACGGCUCUUUCUAAUACAAGGGGCUAAUGGCGGUACUGUAAGAAGAAGCACCGGCUAACUACGUGCCAGCCGCCGCAGUAA
RNAcentral lists this ribosomal RNA (500 nucleotides) under uncultured bacterium. RNAcentral describes it as "partial 16S ribosomal RNA". It matches the Rfam family "Bacterial small subunit ribosomal RNA", at positions 30 to 523 of the family's 1533-position model. The record is from RNAcentral.